Molecule: ribosomal RNA, 428 nt
Filed under: uncultured prokaryote
Description: bacterial SSU rRNA
Rfam family: Bacterial small subunit ribosomal RNA
Source: RNAcentral
UGAGGAAUCUUGCGCAAUGGGGGAAACCCUGACGCAGCAACGCCGCGUGAGUGAGGAAGGUCUUCGGAUCGUAAAGCUCUGUCAGAUGGGAAGAAAUGCAUGGGCGUUAAUAGCGUUCAUGCUUGACGGUACCGUCAGAGGAAGCACCGGCUAACUCCGUGCCAGCAGCCGCGGUAAUACGGGGGGUGCAAGCGUUGUUCGGAAUCAUUGGGCGUAAAGAGCGUGUAGGCGGCUUGAUAAGUCAGAUGUGAAAGCCCUAGGCUCAACCUGGGAAGUGCAUUUGAAACUGUCAUGCUUGAGUAGGGGAGAGGGAAGUGGAAUUCCUGGUGUAGAGGUGAAAUUCGUAGAUAUCAGGAGGAACACCGGUGGCGAAGGCGACUUCCUGGCCCUAUACUGACGCUGAGACGCGAGAGCGUGGGUAGCAAACA